UUUAUGGAGAGUUUGAUCCUGGCUCAGGAUGAACGCUGGCGGCGUGCCUAAUACAUGCAAGUCGAGCGAACGGACGAGAAGCUUGCUUCUCUGAUGUUAGCGGCGGACGGGUGAGUAACACGUGGAUAACCUACCUAUAAGACUGGGAUAACUUCGGGAAACCGGAGCUAAUACCGGAUAAUAUUUUGAACCGCAUGGUUCAAAAGUGAAAGACGGUCUUGCUGUCACUUAUAGAUGGAUCCGCGCUGCAUUAGCUAGUUGGUAAGGUAACGGCUUACCAAGGCAACGAUGCAUAGCCGACCUGAGAGGGUGAUCGGCCACACUGGAACUGAGACACGGUCCAGACUCCUACGGGAGGCAGCAGUAGGGAAUCUUCCGCAAUGGGCGAAAGCCUGACGGAGCAACGCCGCGUGAGUGAUGAAGGUCUUCGGAUCGUAAAACUCUGUUAUUAGGGAAGAACAUAUGUGUAAGUAACUGUGCACAUCUUGACGGUACCUAAUCAGAAAGCCACGGCUAACUACGUGCCAGCAGCCGCGGUAAUACGUAGGUGGCAAGCGUUAUCCGGAAUUAUUGGGCGUAAAGCGCGCGUAGGCGGUUUUUUAAGUCUGAUGUGAAAGCCCACGGCUCAACCGUGGAGGGUCAUUGGAAACUGGAAAACUUGAGUGCAGAAGAGGAAAGUGGAAUUCCAUGUGUAGCGGUGAAAUGCGCAGAGAUAUGGAGGAACACCAGUGGCGAAGGCGACUUUCUGGUCUGUAACUGACGCUGAUGUGCGAAAGCGUGGGGAUCAAACAGGAUUAGAUACCCUGGUAGUCCACGCCGUAAACGAUGAGUGCUAAGUGUUAGGGGGUUUCCGCCCCUUAGUGCUGCAGCUAACGCAUUAAGCACUCCGCCUGGGGAGUACGACCGCAAGGUUGAAACUCAAAGGAAUUGACGGGGACCCGCACAAGCGGUGGAGCAUGUGGUUUAAUUCGAAGCAACGCGAAGAACCUUACCAAAUCUUGACAUCCUUUGACAACUCUAGAGAUAGAGCCUUCCCCUUCGGGGGACAAAGUGACAGGUGGUGCAUGGUUGUCGUCAGCUCGUGUCGUGAGAUGUUGGGUUAAGUCCCGCAACGAGCGCAACCCUUAAGCUUAGUUGCCAUCAUUAAGUUGGGCACUCUAAGUUGACUGCCGGUGACAAACCGGAGGAAGGUGGGGAUGACGUCAAAUCAUCAUGCCCCUUAUGAUUUGGGCUACACACGUGCUACAA
Molecule: ribosomal RNA, 1248 nt
Filed under: Staphylococcus aureus
Lineage: Bacteria; Bacillati; Bacillota; Bacilli; Caryophanales; Staphylococcaceae
Description: bacterial SSU rRNA
Rfam family: Bacterial small subunit ribosomal RNA
Source: RNAcentral